CCCUAAUAUCCAAACAUGUAAAACUUGAAGAACUAAAAGUGAGAUUUUCUAACCUGCGAAUGGUGAGAACUGGUAAGGAAUCAUAUAAUAACCAUGAAAAGCAGCCCCAGGUAGGAAACAAAGGAAGAUGGAGAUUACGGGAGUGCCUGGGGAGAAUCCGUGAAGACCAGCUCUUAAGUCCGGAGAACUUCAGAAGGAAAGGUCAGUUACAGCGGCCUUGGAGACAGCAAGUAGAACGGACAGGACUCCUGCAUCCGGAAAAGCGCUGUCCUUACUUAAAACAAGCAAUCUACAAGCAAGCAGUCUGUGAACUACAUUUGUGGGAACCAGAGAUCAUCUGUCCUGAGGUUACUCUGGCUGUGCUGUAGAAGAUGUAGGAGAGGGGGAAGGGCAAGAGGCAAGCAUAAGAGGAACUUCAGUCCAUUGCUAUCUUCAGCCAAGAAAGUGCACGCAGCGCAGACUCCUUUUGAGGCACAGGGGAUCAGCCCAAAUUAAAGCAGGAAUUCGGAGGCGCCUAGAGCAGAGAAACCGAGACCUACGCCUACACACCACUGCACUGUGGAAGAAGCAGCACAAACACCAAGCCCUAGCGAGUGGUGGCUGCGGGUGUGUGAGCCUCCGCUGGAGUGAAGAAACUGCAAAGGAGAGAAAGCAAGAAGCUGAUCUUAGGCAGUUUGAGACUCUUGAAGAUUACUUAGGUGAGUAAGAUAACACAUUGGUGUUCAUCCUGGACUUUUGGGAUCCCUUACACUUACUGAAAUUAAAUACCAUAUGCCAAAUCUCAUAGAGAUGGGGGUCUAUUUUACCAUAAAGGACAGGGUCCAUAGAAAUGAGUUUUAUUUAGCAAAUAGAUAUUGUAUGUCAUAUAACAUAAAUAUUAAAUAUAAUUUAAAAUUAAAUUCACAUAAUGCAUAUCUUGUGCUGUCUUUUGUAGCCUCAGGUAGAUAGAAAUGCCUGUACCAGAAACUGUUUUGAAAUAUGAACAGUCCCAGAAGUUGCCAAGUACUCCCUGAAAUUUGAACCUAAAGCAAAAAGACAAACAAUGAUACAGUCUCUUCACACCCCCAAAAUAUCAGCCACCAGUAGGACAGAAACCAUCACCAAAAUAGUCUCUAACAAGUGGGGUUUUCCUCUAUGUAGUGUUAGGCCAGGUUGCUCUACAUACACAGGUGUUGGGAGAACACUGCUACUACCUUUACAUGAGGAAUUCACACGAAAAAGCAAAAAUGAACAUAGAAGUAGUAUUUGGAAAGAGGAGGAGACUGGUAGUCAGGAGAGGCAAAAUAUGACCAAAGCAUACUACGUACAUAUAUGAAAAUGUC
This is a long non-coding RNA of Arvicola amphibius (Eurasian water vole), 1322 nucleotides long. RefSeq lists it as uncharacterized. The record is from RefSeq and is a predicted model, not a curated record. NCBI's taxonomy places the organism in Eukaryota, Metazoa, Chordata, Mammalia, Rodentia, Cricetidae. The transcript has 3 exons.